RNAcentral lists this ribosomal RNA (478 nucleotides) under uncultured bacterium. Its description in RNAcentral is "SSU rRNA". It matches the Rfam family "Bacterial small subunit ribosomal RNA", at positions 26 to 523 of the family's 1533-position model. The record is from RNAcentral.
AGGACGAACGCUAGCGGCGUGCUUAACACAUGCAAGUCGAGCGGUAAGGCCUUCGGGUACACGAGCGGCGAACGGGUGAGUAACACGUGGGUGAUCUGCCUUGCACUUCGGGAUAAGCCUGGGAAACUAGGUCUAAUACCGGAUAUGACCCGAGAAUGCAUGUUCUGGGGUGGAAAGAUUUAUCGGUGCGAGAUGGGCCCGCGGCCUAUCAGCUUGUUGGUGAGGUAACGGCUCACCAAGGCGACGACGGGUAGCCGACCUGAGAGGGUGACCGGCCACACUGGGACUGAGACACGGCCCAGACUCCUACGGGAGGCAGCAGUGGGGAAUAUUGCACAAUGGGCGAAAGCCUGAUGCAGCGACGCCGCGUGGAGGAUGACGGCCUUCGGGUUGUAACUCCUUUUGUACAGGGACGAAGCGAAAGUGACUGUACCUGUAGAAGAAGCACCGGCCAACUACGUGCCAGCAGCCGCGGUAA